GACGGAGGGUGCUAGCGUUGUUCGGAAUUACUGGGCGUAAAGGGCGCGUAGGCGGCCGUUUGCGUCGGAUGUGAAAGCCCGGGGCUCAACACCGGGAGGCGGGUGGAUACUGCUCAGCUCGAGUCCGGAAGAGGAGUGUGGAAUUCCUGGUGUAGCGGUGAAAUGCGCAGAUAUCAGGAGGAACACCAAUGGCGAAGGCAGCACUCUGGGACGGUACUGACGCUGAGACGCGAAAGCGUGGGGAGCAAACAGG
RNAcentral lists this ribosomal RNA (253 nucleotides) under uncultured bacterium. RNAcentral describes it as "partial 16S ribosomal RNA". It matches the Rfam family "Bacterial small subunit ribosomal RNA", at positions 524 to 776 of the family's 1533-position model. The record is from RNAcentral.